RNAcentral lists this ribosomal RNA (926 nucleotides) under Homorosoma validirostre. RNAcentral's name for it is "eukaryotic LSU rRNA". It matches the Rfam family "Eukaryotic large subunit ribosomal RNA", at positions 144 to 828 of the family's 3401-position model. Lineage: Eukaryota; Metazoa; Arthropoda; Insecta; Coleoptera; Curculionidae. The record is from RNAcentral.
UGUGGUGUUCGGGAGGGUCCAUUAUCCCGAGAUUAUGCGGUGCGUCCAAGUCCUUCUUGAACGGGGCCACAGCCCAUAGAGGGUGCCAGGCCCGUAGCGACCGCCGCUGAUCGCGGGAGGAUCUCUCCUUAGAGUCGGGUUGCUUGAGAGUGCAGCCCUAAGUGGGUGGUAAACUCCAUCUAAGGCUAAAUAUGACCACGAGACCGAUAGCGAACAAGUACCGUGAGGGAAAGUUGAAAAGCACUUUGAAGAGAGAGUUCAAGAGUACGUGAAACCGUUUAGGGGUAAACCUGAGAAACCCGAAAGGUCGAAGGGAGAAAUUCAUUCGCGUUUCGUAAUCGGCGUUAGGCGGUCGCGUGACGGGAAGCGUUCGCGUUUUCCGCUCCUUCCGUUUAUCGAACCGGCAACGAACGCGUGCACUUUUCUCCUGGUAGGACGUCGCGAUCCGUUGAGUGUCGGUCUACGGCUCGCGGUGGAGCCCGUUCGUACCACGUGUGCGAGCGGACCCGCGUGUCCCGGCUGACUCGCUCGACGGUAUACGAAAGGUUAAAGGCCGCUCUCGGAGCGUUCGACUCGUGGCAAGCGCGCCAGAUGCGUCGGCGAUCGGACCCAGUGCCGAUUCUGACCUCUGGUGACUGUUGGCCGCGAAUGUCUCGGACAGACCUUAGACCAAUCUGCGACGCUAUAGCUUUGGGUACUUUCAGGACCCGUCUUGAAACACGGACCAAGGAGUCUAGCAUGUGCGCGAGUCAUUGGGAAUCACUAAACCUAAAGGCGCAAUGAAAGUAAAGGUCUUCCUCGCGGAGACUGAGGGAGGACGAGCGGUUUACCCUUAAAAGUGGCCGCCCCGCACUCCCGGGGCGUCUCGUUCUCAUUGCGAGAAGAGGCGCACCAUGAGCGUACACGCUGGGACCCGAAAGAUGGUG